Molecule: long non-coding RNA, 955 nt
Organism: Triplophysa dalaica
Lineage: Eukaryota; Metazoa; Chordata; Actinopteri; Cypriniformes; Nemacheilidae
Exons: 3
Source: RefSeq, a predicted model, not a curated record
CACUGAGCUUGUGGUUCUUUUGGUCUGCUGUUUUCCGCUUGUGUCUGUUUGCUGACUAGUCAAAGGCACAGAGGUAACUGAGGCUGCAGGAUUACAAAAUUACAAUGAACACAAUGCAUUUUAGGUCAUCGCUGCUUUUGUGUCUCUUUGGUGUUGGAUUUGCAAAAGUACAAGUAGUGCAAUAUUCAUUGGAAGAGAAAUAUGAAGUUGGCCACACCGCAGUAAUUUACUGCAACUUAACUAAGGAUAAAGAAACCGUCAGGAGCUGUACAAUGAUCUGGAAAGUUCAGGACGAAAACUCAAACAACCGUGUAGCUAUCACAGACAAAGAAAAAUACAACAAAAGAGUGAACGGUAUAUCCGAGCACUAUUUUAGCUCAUUGACUAUAAGCGACCUCAGUCUUACAGACACUGAAAAAAUCGUGUGCACAGCAACAUGUUUUGUAGAUGAGAAGCUCCGAUACAUGACUGGUAAUUGGACAGUUAUCACAUUAACAGAAAAAGAGCCAACACCUGCCCUUCCAUGGUUGAAAUACCUUAUUAUCUCUAUCAAUCUUCUAAUUUUCACUGUUGCAUUGGGCAUAUGUGUAUUGAUCGUGCGAAGGAUGAGAAGACGAAAAUGAGACGAAACGUAAUUUGGUUUUACAUUCUCUUGAAGAGAAAAUGCGUUGAAUUCAAGAAAAGGUAUUUUGAUUAAAGAAUUGCAGAGGUAGUCAAAUUAGUUAUUGGGGGAAUAGUGAAAGACCAAAAUGCUAGUGUGCCAGUAAUGGAAGUUUUAGAAGGUGUAUUGCAGCAUUACAUGUUAAAAAUUGAAGCCGAAUGGCAACACAGCUAAGCAACAUUUUAAUUCGCUUUGUUUUACAGCCGCAUAUGUUCCGCAUUAUUUGUUCCCUUAUUCUUGCAUAUGUUUAUUGUUUUUAAUAGUGUAUUAAAAAAAAAUCAAAGCUGGAUUUCA